UGCUGUAAUGAUGAUUGGCAAAAUGUUCAACUGCUCUGAAGAAUGUGAAUGAGCUAUGCCUUUCUGAACUGUU
Small nucleolar RNA from Anguilla anguilla (European eel), 73 nucleotides. RefSeq annotates it as small nucleolar RNA Z40. NCBI's taxonomy places the organism in Eukaryota, Metazoa, Chordata, Actinopteri, Anguilliformes, Anguillidae. The transcript has a single exon. The record is from RefSeq and is a predicted model, not a curated record.